UUCUGAAAUCUGUUUUGCUCGGCUCCUGUAACUCUACCCAGAACAAGGGUAGAGGCUGGGACCUGAGCCCUGGGGAGGUGGUAGCUCAUUACUUUUCUGUGCUGGGAGCAGGCUGACACACUCCCUGGUCAAGCAUAGCCAGUGGGAAUCUGGGGAGAGAGCAAGCUAAAUUACAAGCAGAGUCUGGCCAGAUGAUGACCAGCCAUGGGUUGCUCUGCUUCCAGAGGCCUCCUUCUGAUCCUGAAAUGCUCACUGGGCUCCUGACUGGUGCUCCUACGCAGGUAGGCACUGACAGAACUGCAGAGCUGUGUCUCUAGCCAGCAGCACACACACACCCCUCUCCUAAAUCUACCUGGUUGGUUCUAGACUCUAAACUUUGUAUUUUUUUCCAUGACAUUGAUAAAGCAGUAAGAAAAUAUUAAAAUUUCCUCCUAGCA
This 437-nucleotide long non-coding RNA is filed under the name Rattus norvegicus (Norway rat). Its description in RNAcentral is "long non-coding RNA NONRATT006242". The record is from RNAcentral. Lineage: Eukaryota; Metazoa; Chordata; Mammalia; Rodentia; Muridae.